This 196-nucleotide ribosomal RNA is filed under the name uncultured Pseudoalteromonas sp. Its description in RNAcentral is "partial 16S ribosomal RNA". It matches the Rfam family "Bacterial small subunit ribosomal RNA", at positions 335 to 524 of the family's 1533-position model. The record is from RNAcentral. Lineage: Bacteria; Pseudomonadati; Pseudomonadota; Gammaproteobacteria; Alteromonadales; Pseudoalteromonadaceae.
GGCCUACGGGAGGCAGCAGUGGGGAAUAUUGCACAAUGGGCGCAAGCCUGAUGCAGCCAUGCCGCGUGUGUGAAGAAGGCCUUCGGGUUGUAAAGCACUUUCAGUCAGGAGGAAAGGUUAGUAGUUAAUACCUGCUAGCUGUGACGUUACUGACAGAAGAAGCACCGGCUAACUCCGUGCCAGCAGCCGCGGUAAU